This 322-nucleotide ribosomal RNA is filed under the name uncultured eukaryote. Its description in RNAcentral is "partial 18S ribosomal RNA". It matches the Rfam family "Eukaryotic small subunit ribosomal RNA", at positions 1470 to 1796 of the family's 1831-position model. The record is from RNAcentral.
CCCUUAGAUGUUCUGGGCCGCACGCGUGCUACACUGAGUGGAUCAGCGGGUCAGGUUGCGCGAAAGUGUUUCCUAAUCUUGAAAUCCGCUCGUGAUGGGGAUUGACGGUUGCAAUUUUCCGUCAUGAACGAGGAAUACCUUGUAAGCGCGGGUCAUCAUCCCGCGCUGAAUACGUCCCUGCCCUUUGUACACACCGCCCGUCGCUCCUACCGAUUGAGUGGUCCGGUGAGGCUUUGGGAUCUGAGCGGAAAGAGCGUUUCGCUGUUUCUGCUCGGAAAACUCAGCCGAACCUUAUCGUUUAGAGGAAGGAGAAGUCGUAACA